Molecule: transfer RNA, 88 nt
Filed under: Candidatus Neomicrothrix sp.
Lineage: Bacteria; Bacillati; Actinomycetota; Acidimicrobiia; Acidimicrobiales; Microthrixaceae
Description: tRNA-OTHER
Rfam family: tRNA
About the family: Transfer RNA (tRNA) molecules are approximately 80 nucleotides in length. Their secondary structure includes four short double-helical elements and three loops (D, anti-codon, and T loops).
Source: RNAcentral
GGAGGGGAUGGCAGAGCGGACGAUUGCGACGGUCUUGAAACCGUUGAGGUGCAAGCCUCCCGGGGUUCGAAUCCCCCUCCCUCCGCCA